Molecule: ribosomal RNA, 1035 nt
Filed under: Triticum aestivum (bread wheat)
Lineage: Eukaryota; Viridiplantae; Streptophyta; Magnoliopsida; Poales; Poaceae
Description: partial small subunit ribosomal RNA
Source: RNAcentral
AUGAAGGAAUGCCCUCCUCUGCCAUUGGAUCACCUCCAAAUGCUAACAUCUCUGAAGAUUCUCAAAAUAAAUUGCUCAGAUAAUGUUUUGCCACCGAGUGAUGUUGAGACUGGGAGUGAUGGCAUGUACCAGUUACCAAUUGAUACCCUGCAUAUUUGGCGGUGUGGUGCUACUGGGAAGAAGUUGACACAGUUGCUCUCUCAUUUUCCUAAUCUCAGCAAAUUGUCCAUAUCCUAUUGUGCGAAGAUAACAAGGGUUCGUGUGGUGGAGCAGCAGGACAGGACAAGAAUUGCAUCAUCUUCAGCUAAUAAAAUGGAGCAAGCACAAAUUGAACUGCAGCAGCAGCAACAGACAAGAGGAGAGGAGGAAAUAGCAACAGCAGCAGGAGGAGAAGCACUUCUGCUCUUGCCUCCCCAGCUGCAGGAAUUGAAGAUUGACAAUUGCCCAGAGCUGACCCUACUCUCCAGUUCGCUCAACGAUGGCGGACAAGGAGGAUGGCUCCAAGGUCUCCACUCCCUCUGCUCAUUCCGGGUAGAUCAAUGCCCCAAAUUCCUAUCCUCCUAUUCGUCCUCCCUCUCCCCUUGUUUCCUUUUCCCAAUCUCUCUACAAAUCCUCCAUCUUGAAGGAGUGCUGGACAUGGAGACGCUUCAGCCCCUCUCAAACCUCACAUCUCUCACAAAAUUGACCAUAAGUAGAUGUUGGGAUUUAAAAGGCGAGGGAAUAUGGCCUGUCCUUGCCCAUGGCUGCCUCAUGGAAUUAGACCUCCGUUAUGCCCCCAAAUUCUUCGCCAGCUCUGAUCCCCCACCCACGCAUGACAAAGAGCUUCUCUCCAGGAGGAGGUGGAGCGCUUCACUAACGAGCAAGAGGACGCCUUUCAGCUCCUCGCCUCCCUCCAGGACCUCACUUUUAACGAUUUAUGCGAGCUGCAGUGCCUCCCAGCAGGGCUACACAGACUUUCCAGCCUCGAGACAUUACGGAUUCAGUACAGCCAUGCUUUCGAAUCGCUGCCCAAGGACGGCCUUCCGAGUUCUCUGA